RNAcentral lists this ribosomal RNA (468 nucleotides) under uncultured bacterium. RNAcentral describes it as "partial 16S ribosomal RNA". It matches the Rfam family "Bacterial small subunit ribosomal RNA", at positions 28 to 507 of the family's 1533-position model. The record is from RNAcentral.
GACGAACGCUGGCGGCGUGCUUAACACAUGCAAGUCGAACGGAAAGGCCCUGCUUUUGUGGGGUGCUCGAGUGGCGAACGGGUGAGUAACACGUGAGUAACCUGCCCUUGACUUUGGGAUAACUUCGGGAAACUGGGGCUAAUACCGGAUAGGAGCUCCUGCUGCAUGGUGGGGGUUGGAAAGUUUCGGCGGUUGGGGAUGGACUCGCGGCUUAUCAGCUUGUUGGUGGGGUAGUGGCUUACCAAGGCUUUGACGGGUAGCCGGCCUGAGAGGGUGACCGGCCACAUUGGGACUGAGAUACGGCCCAGACUCCUACGGGAGGCAGCAGUGGGGAAUAUUGCACAAUGGGCGGAAGCCUGAUGCAGCAACGCCGCGUGCGGGAUGACGGCCUUCGGGUUGUAAACCGCUUUCGCCUGUGACGAAGCGUGAGUGGCGGUAAUGGGUAAAGAAGCACCGGCUAACUACGUG